RNAcentral lists this ribosomal RNA (437 nucleotides) under uncultured bacterium. RNAcentral's name for it is "bacterial SSU rRNA". It matches the Rfam family "Bacterial small subunit ribosomal RNA", at positions 8 to 493 of the family's 1533-position model. The record is from RNAcentral.
AGAGUUUGAUCCUGGCUCAGAACGAACGCUGGCGGCAGGCUUAACACAUGCAAGUCGAGCGCCCCGCAAGGGGAGCGGCAGACGGGUGAGUAACGCGUGGGAAUCUACCCAUCUCUACGGAACAACUCCGGGAAACUGGAGCUAAUACCGUAUACGUCCUUCGGGAGAAAGAUUUAUCGGAGAUGGAUGAGCCCGCGUUGGAUUAGCUAGUUGGUGGGGUAAUGGCCUACCAAGGCGACGAUCCAUAGCUGGUCUGAGAGGAUGAUCAGCCACACUGGGACUGAGACACGGCCCAGACUCCUACGGGAGGCAGCAGUGGGGAAUAUUGGACAAUGGGCGCAAGCCUGAUCCAGCCAUGCCGCGUGAGUGAUGAAGGCCCUAGGGUUGUAAAGCUCUUUCAACGGUGAAGAUAAUGACGGUAACCGUAGAAGAAGCCC